RNAcentral lists this ribosomal RNA (497 nucleotides) under uncultured bacterium. RNAcentral describes it as "partial 16S ribosomal RNA". It matches the Rfam family "Bacterial small subunit ribosomal RNA", at positions 28 to 507 of the family's 1533-position model. The record is from RNAcentral.
GAUGAACGCUGGCGGCGUGCCUAAUACAUGCAAGUCGAGCGAACAGACGAGGAGCUUGCUCCUCUGACGUUAGCGGCGGACGGGUGAGUAACACGUGGAUAACCUACCUAUAAGACUGGGAUAACUUCGGGAAACCGGAGCUAAUACCGGAUAAUAUAUUGAACCGCAUGGUUCAAUGGUGAAAGACGGUUUUGCUGUCACUUAUAGAUGGAUCCGCGCCGCAUUAGCUAGUUGGUAAGGUAACGGCUUACCAAGGCAACGAUGCGUAGCCGACCUGAGAGGGUGAUCGGCCACACUGGAACUGAGACACGGUCCAGACUCCUACGGGAGGCAGCAGUAGGGAAUCUUCUGCAAUGGGCGAAAGCCUGACGGAGCAACGCCGCGUGAGUGAUGAAGGUCUUCGGAUCGUAAAACUCUGUUAUUAGGGAAGAACAAAUGUGUAAGUAACUAUGCACGUCUUGACGGUACCUAAUCAGAAAGCCACGGCUAACUACGUG